GCGGGCGUAGUUCAUUGGUAGAACGCGACCUUGCCAAGGUCGAGGGGUGGGUUCGAUUCCCAUCGCCCGCUCCA
RNAcentral lists this transfer RNA (74 nucleotides) under Elusimicrobia bacterium RIFCSPLOWO2_12_FULL_59_9. RNAcentral describes it as "tRNA-Gly". It matches the Rfam family "tRNA". From Rfam's summary of the family: Transfer RNA (tRNA) molecules are approximately 80 nucleotides in length. Their secondary structure includes four short double-helical elements and three loops (D, anti-codon, and T loops). Further hydrogen bonds mediate the characteristic L-shaped molecular structure. tRNAs have two regions of fundamental functional importance: the anti-codon, which is responsible for specific mRNA codon recognition, and the 3' end, to which the tRNAs corresponding amino acid is attached (by aminoacyl-tRNA synthetases). tRNAs cope with the degeneracy of the genetic code in two manners: having more than one tRNA (with a specific anti-codon) for a particular amino acid; and 'wobble' base-pairing, i.e. permitting non-standard base-pairing at the 3rd anti-codon position. The record is from RNAcentral. Lineage: Bacteria; Pseudomonadati; Elusimicrobiota.